UACCAGUGAUGCCGAGCAGCUCAUCGAAUUAAAACAUAAUCGAAAUAUUCAUGUAAAAUACUAUUAAUAUACAAUACAAAUUACAUUCAUGAGUGAUAAUACAUUUGGAUUCGCAAAUUCUUCGCAACAUUAUACAAAGAGUAUGAGUAUUCUUCUGUCUAUAAUUAGCACUAUAAAUUAUUUUAACUUAUACAGCAAAUGUCUACGGCCAUACCUAGGCGAAAACACCAGUUCCCGUCCGAUCACUGCAGUUAAGCGUCUGAGGGCCUCGUUAGUACUAUGGUUGGAGACAACAUGGGAAUCCGGGGUGCUGUAGGCUUCCUUUCAUUACUGUAUUCAUUUUUUUUACAUUACUUACACAUGUUAGUGAACACAAUGAAAGCAAACGUUUCUAAAAUGUUUCAACAGACACGGCAUGGUAUAUUAAACACCGGAAUGUC
Molecule: non-coding RNA, 440 nt
Organism: Schizosaccharomyces pombe (fission yeast)
Lineage: Eukaryota; Fungi; Ascomycota; Schizosaccharomycetes; Schizosaccharomycetales; Schizosaccharomycetaceae
Source: the annotation of a GenBank genome assembly